UACGUAGGGUGCAAGCGUUGUCCGGAAUUAUUGGGCGUAAAGAGCUCGUAGGCGGUUUGUCGCGUCAGCUGUGAAAACUCGGGGCUUAACUCCGGGCCUGCAGUGGGUACGGGCAGACUAGAGUGCGGUAGGGGAGACUGGAAUUCCUGGUGUAGCGGUGAAAUGCGCAGAUAUCAGGAGGAACACCGGUGGCGAAGGCGGGUCUCUGGGCCGUAACUGACGCUGAGGCGCGAAAGCGUGGGGAGCGAACAGG
RNAcentral lists this ribosomal RNA (253 nucleotides) under uncultured bacterium. Its description in RNAcentral is "partial 16S ribosomal RNA". It matches the Rfam family "Bacterial small subunit ribosomal RNA", at positions 524 to 776 of the family's 1533-position model. The record is from RNAcentral.